CCUACGGGCGGCAGCAGUGGGGAAUAUUGCACAAUGGGCGCAAGCCUGAUGCAGCCAUGCCGCGUGUGUGAAGAAGGCCUUCGGGUUGUAAAGCACUUUCAGCGGGGAGGAAGGCGUUAAGGUUAAUAACCUUGGCGAUUGACGUUACCCGCAGAAGGAGCACCGGCUAACUCCGUGCCAGCAGCCGCGGUAAUACGGAGGGUGCAAGCGUUAAUCGGAAUUACUGGGCGUAAAGCGCACGCAGGCGGUCUGUCAAGUCGGAUGUGAAAUCCCCGGGCUCAACCUGGGAACUGCAUUCGAAACUGGCAGGCUAGAGUCGUGUAGAGGGGGGUAGAAUUCCAGGUGUAGCGGUGAAAUGCGUAGAGAUCUGGAGGAAUACCGGUGGCGAAGGCGGCCCCCUGGACAAAGACUGACGCUCAGGUGCGAAAGCGUGGGGAGCAAACAGGAUUAGAUACCCCUGUAGUC
Molecule: ribosomal RNA, 465 nt
Filed under: uncultured Klebsiella sp.
Lineage: Bacteria; Pseudomonadati; Pseudomonadota; Gammaproteobacteria; Enterobacterales; Enterobacteriaceae
Description: bacterial SSU rRNA
Rfam family: Bacterial small subunit ribosomal RNA
Source: RNAcentral